This 339-nucleotide ribosomal RNA is filed under the name uncultured bacterium. Its description in RNAcentral is "bacterial SSU rRNA". It matches the Rfam family "Bacterial small subunit ribosomal RNA", at positions 28 to 349 of the family's 1533-position model. The record is from RNAcentral.
GAUGAACGCUGGCGGCGUGCUUAACACAUGCAAGUCGAGCGAAGCGAUCUUGAUGAAGUUUUCGGAUGGAUUUUAAGAUGACUGAGUGGCGGACGGGUGAGUAACACGUGGAUAACCUGCCUCACACUGGGGGACAACAGUUAGAAAUGACUGCUAAUACCGCAUAAGCGCACAGUACCGCAUGGUACAGUGUGAAAAACUCCGGUGGUGUGAGAUGGAUCCGCGUCUGAUUAGCCAGUUGGCGGGGUAACGGCCCACCAAAGCGACGAUCAGUAGCCGACCUGAGAGGGUGACCGGCCACAUUGGGACUGAGACACGGCCCAAACUCCUACGGGAGCA